AGCAGCCGCGGUAAUUCCAGCUCCAAUAGCGUAUAUUAAAGUUGUUGCAGUUAAAAAGCUCGUAGUUGAAUUUCGAAAUCGGUUUAUUGGUCGUGCUUUUGUAUGUACUGGUAUAAUCGGUUUCUCCCUUCUGAUGAACCAUAAUGUCAUUAAUUUGGUGUUAUGGGGAAUCAGGACUGUUACUUUGAAAAAAUUAGAGUGUUUAAAGCAGGCUCACGCUUGAAUACAUUAGCAUGGAAUAACGGAAUAAGACGUUUGAUUCUAUUUUGUUGGUUUCUAGGAUCGACGUAAUGAUUAAUAGGGAUAGUUGGGGGCAUUAGUAUUCAAUUGUCAGAGGUGAAAUUCUUGGAUUUAUUGAAGACUAACUACUGCGAAAGCAUUUGCCAAGGAUGUUUUCAUUAAUCAAGAACGAAAGUUAGGGGAUCGAAGACGAUCAGAUACCGUCGUAGUCUUAACCAUAAACUAUGCCGACUAGGGAUCGGAUGAUGUUAAUUUUAAUGACUCAUUCGGCACCUUACGG
This 520-nucleotide ribosomal RNA is filed under the name uncultured Glomus. RNAcentral's name for it is "SSU rRNA". It matches the Rfam family "Eukaryotic small subunit ribosomal RNA", at positions 569 to 1093 of the family's 1831-position model. The record is from RNAcentral. Lineage: Eukaryota; Fungi; Glomeromycota; Glomeromycetes; Glomerales; Glomeraceae.